Molecule: ribosomal RNA, 468 nt
Filed under: uncultured bacterium
Lineage: Bacteria
Description: partial 16S ribosomal RNA
Rfam family: Bacterial small subunit ribosomal RNA
Source: RNAcentral
GACGGACGCUGGCGGCGUGCUUAACACAUGCAAGUCGAACGGAAAGGCCCUGCUUUUGUGGGGUGCUCGAGUGGCGAACGGGUGAGUAACACGUGAGUAACCUGCCCUUGACUUUGGGAUAACUUCAGGAAACUGGGGCUAAUACCGGAUAGGAGCUCCUGCUGCAUGGUGGGGGUUGGAAAGUUUCGGCGGUUGGGGAUGGACUCGCGGCUUAUCAGCUUGUUGGUGGGGUAGUGGCUUACCAAGGCUUUGACGGGUAGCCGGCCUGAGAGGGUGACCGGCCACAUUGGGACUGAGAUACGGCCCAGACUCCUACGGGAGGCAGCAGUGGGGAAUAUUGCACAAUGGGCGGAAGCCUGAUGCAGCAACGCCGCGUGCGGGAUGACGGCCUUCGGGUUGUAAACCGCUUUCGCCUGUAACGAAGCGUGAGUGACGGUAAUGGGUAAAGAAGCACCGGCUAACUACGUG